AGGCACGUAGCUCAGCGGGAGAGCACCGUCCUGACACGGCGGGGGUCAGCAGUUCAAAUCUGCUCGUGCCUACCA
This 75-nucleotide transfer RNA is filed under the name Alphaproteobacteria bacterium. Its description in RNAcentral is "tRNA-Val". It matches the Rfam family "tRNA". Rfam says of the family: Transfer RNA (tRNA) molecules are approximately 80 nucleotides in length. Their secondary structure includes four short double-helical elements and three loops (D, anti-codon, and T loops). Further hydrogen bonds mediate the characteristic L-shaped molecular structure. tRNAs have two regions of fundamental functional importance: the anti-codon, which is responsible for specific mRNA codon recognition, and the 3' end, to which the tRNAs corresponding amino acid is attached (by aminoacyl-tRNA synthetases). tRNAs cope with the degeneracy of the genetic code in two manners: having more than one tRNA (with a specific anti-codon) for a particular amino acid; and 'wobble' base-pairing, i.e. permitting non-standard base-pairing at the 3rd anti-codon position. The record is from RNAcentral. Lineage: Bacteria; Pseudomonadati; Pseudomonadota; Alphaproteobacteria.